Molecule: unclassified non-coding RNA, 243 nt
Filed under: Glomus sp.
Lineage: Eukaryota; Fungi; Glomeromycota; Glomeromycetes; Glomerales; Glomeraceae
Description: partial contains 5.8S ribosomal RNA and internal transcribed spacer 2
Rfam family: 5.8S ribosomal RNA (bases 1-65)
Source: RNAcentral
GUGAAUCAUCGAAUUUUUGAACGCAAAUUGCACUCUCCUCGGAGAGUAUGCCUGUUUGAGGGUCAGCCUAUAAAAAAUCGACAUCGUUGCUGUUUCGCGGUGGCGUUCGUCGGAAAUGGGGCAUUUUUAAUCCUUUUGAUUUUAAGCGAUUUAAAUUUUCCUUUUUGGUUCCAUGAACGUUUUUAAGAUUUAUUUCUUUACACUCUUAAGUUAUCGUUUUUUAUUAGACGUGACCACCAUAUC